Molecule: ribosomal RNA, 459 nt
Filed under: uncultured Oscillospiraceae bacterium
Lineage: Bacteria; Bacillati; Bacillota; Clostridia; Eubacteriales; Oscillospiraceae
Description: bacterial SSU rRNA
Rfam family: Bacterial small subunit ribosomal RNA
Source: RNAcentral
CCCGCACAAGCAGUGAGUAUGUGGUUUAAUUCGAAGCAACGCGAAGAACCUUACCAGGGCUUGACAUCCCUCGAAUAUUGCAGAAUGCAAUAGUCCUACGGGACGAGGAGACAGGUGGUGCAUGGUUGUCGUCAGCUCGUGUCGUGAGAUGUUGGGUUAAGUCCCGCAACGAGCGCAACCCCUGUUGUUAGUUGCCAUCAAGUAAAGUUGGGCACUCUAACGAGACUGCCGGUGACAAAUCGGAGGAAGGUGGGGACGACGUCAAAUCAUCAUGCCCCUUAUGUCCUGGGCUACACACGUACUACAAUGGCUACUACAGAGGGAAGCGAAGCCGCGAGGUGGAGCAAAUCCCACAAAAGUAGUCCCAGUUCGGAUUGGAGUCUGCAACUCGACUCCAUGAAGUUGGAAUCGCUAGUAAUCGCGGAUCAGCACGCCGCGGUGAAUACGUUCCCGGGCCUU